CACCAUUAAAUAUAAGAAAAAAAAUUUUCAAACUUGCAAAGAAGAAAAAGGAAAGGAUUGUUUGAGGAUAAAGUCAUAUUUGAAGACUUUGUUACAGUUCAUCUUAAAGUACAGAGAAAACCCCAUUCUUGUUUCGAUGGACAAUUCAAAUAUUUUCAGCUAUAUUCAAUAUAACUAGUCUUCUUGGAUGUUGAUAAAUUUCAUUGAGAAUGUGAAUCAGAGUAUCU
RNAcentral lists this unclassified non-coding RNA (227 nucleotides) under Hevea brasiliensis (rubber tree). Lineage: Eukaryota; Viridiplantae; Streptophyta; Magnoliopsida; Malpighiales; Euphorbiaceae. The record is from RNAcentral.